RNAcentral lists this long non-coding RNA (557 nucleotides) under Struthio camelus australis. RNAcentral describes it as "lncRNA (ENSSCUG00000016584.1)". The record is from RNAcentral. Lineage: Eukaryota; Metazoa; Chordata; Aves; Struthioniformes; Struthionidae.
AUGGUUCUUUCUAGCCCGAGCUGCAGCAUGAGGCACAGAAGGGGCAGGACACAGGAAAGGAGAUGCUGUUACAGUACCAGGGUAUUCAGGAGUGGCAGAAUGGAAAGAAGAGACCAUCUUGUACUAUCCAACAGGAUAUUUUAGUUCCUUCAAUUAGAAAGCGAUUUGUUGGAGAUUCACAUUGGCUCAUUUAGACUUUUUGAAAAAAGAGUGGCAGUUUAAAUCCAAUAUUUCUGGAACUUUCUAGUGGAGUAAUAGUACCUGUGGUUUCUGGAGCCAGCAGGAAAAGUUGUCCAGUGACAUUGACUGUACCACUUACUGCUGCUGUUCUUUGGUAUGUCAUUAGAACUUUUUUUAUGAACUUUGCUUCCUGUUCCUUUAAGCGCCUGAGCUUGUUCAGAACACCUACCUCUGCUACCUUUAAAAGUGCUGAAAAGCCGUAUGCUACCAAGCCAGAGCAAUAAGACAUAUGGAGACAACUUUCAGCCAUAUGCAGCCAGCUGGCUGAAAAGAUUUCUGGAAAUAAAUCCCAAUGCUUUAAAAGAAUAAAUAAAUAA